AGUCGCACCCCACCAUUUUUUCGAGCAGCAACUCACUUCAUCCUUCAUAGUGUCGUUUUAUCAUCUCCAUCGAUGAAUGCAGAGCAAGCAGCACGACAUAACCGAACACCAUGCGGAGACACUACGGCGAAAGGAAGAUGUCUUUGCUAGACUCUCGCGACGGCGCCCGACAUCACUGAGCUCGCCCGCGUUUGAGGCUGUAGUGACACGUCUACAAGACGAGGAGGCUCAGUGCACCUUUCUGCCUCGCGUGAACCACACGUACGAUGCCGCACUGAUGCGCUGGGCCGCCGACUCGGACGUCUUCACUCGUCUCUCUGGUCACGCGAAGUGUCAGCGGCAGCAGCGGGAAAAUGCGGCAGAGCUGAAGCGGAGGGCCGACGCCGCAGAAGUGGACGAGUGGCACGCCAAGUUUCGAACAAUGCCUUUCCCGAGACACCUGUACGCCCACGCUCGCUCCCAUAAUCGUCACACCACGGCCUCGGCUACGGACCGCAUCGCAGCGCAUGGUGUUUCGCUACAGGCAUCCACGGCAAAGAAGGGCACGCACAUCAUCUCCGCAUUGCACAGUGGCAGACGACUUGCAGACGGUGCAGGCGCAUGCAGAAGGACACUCUCGGAGGACUGCAUUCCGCCCGCCGCAUGCCAAGGGACGGCUCCUCUGACUCUCGCGCGGGCGGAAGUGUGGCUUUCCCGCAUGCGCACCGCCCAUCUGUCACAUGCGCAUCCCCGCAGUGUGCAAGAGGCGCGGCGUGAACACAGCGAGGCUGUGUGCGAGUGGCCGAAGGAGUCCUAGCGUCUUCUCUCCCUCUUCAUCUUUGACUGUGCUUAACCGCUGCUGCGAGAGGGCUUCAGUGCUCGAUGCGGCGCAUGCCACGGGCACGUGCAGCGGUGUAACAGAUACCCACUAGACAGUAAUCUAGACUGCUGUGUGCUUCUCUUCUUGUUGCGUGAUUCGGGUGGCAAACCCUUAGCUGCGGCGGUGCCGCUCAUCGGCGCACACAUUCCCACGGGCGCGGAAAGCGGAGCGAACAGCUGUCUACGGCUGACGACAACUGGUGUCUCUGCUCUCCGUGCACGAAAAGAGUCCCAGACAAAACGAGGCAAAGAAAAUACGUAGGCCAUCAUGUGUGCUGCUAUGCAGCCUUCGUGGACUAUCCGCUUGAAACAUCGCCCUACUGCGCAUCUCAUCCAUGCCUUGUUGUUCCAACUUCGCGCCUGUGUCGUGGCUCGUUUUUUUUUUUUUGCAUCUUGCCCCCCCCCCCCCCCCCCCCCAUGACGAUGCAGGGUCAUCUCACCGCGGUAUCAGUGCCACCGUACCCACUCUUUGUGUGAAUGCCAAGAGCCUGCACCGCCUGCCCUCGGGUACGGUUGCGGACUCUUGGUGCUGCCGGACAGGUCUGGGCUGCUGCGGUGCCGAAGGGACGUGCGGCCAUAAUGACCACGCUUGUAGGAGCUCACUAGGCAUCAUGUCGACGAUUCAACAGAGCUACGCAUCCACCUCCUCUUUUUAUGCCUUUGCUGCAUUGCGCGGAUGCUGAGCGUCAUUCUGGACCGAUCCUUCGCUGUACGCAGUAUAAUUG
Molecule: unclassified non-coding RNA, 1583 nt
Filed under: Leishmania donovani
Lineage: Eukaryota; Euglenozoa; Kinetoplastea; Trypanosomatida; Trypanosomatidae
Description: gene:LdHU3.17.2120(CDS-product:hypothetical_prote in)
Source: RNAcentral